This 159-nucleotide unclassified non-coding RNA is filed under the name rhizosphere metagenome. Its description in RNAcentral is "partial ribosomal RNA internal transcribed spacer region". The record is from RNAcentral.
GUUGGUGAACCAGCGGAUGGAUCAUUAACAAUAGUAUUUAUACUAAUUUAACACUUGUGAACAGAAUGGGACUAAUCCUCUCAAUUUAUUAUUAUUUUUAUACUGAAUACAUGAUAUAUAACAAUCAUAAAACUUUUAGCAACGGAUCUCUAGGCUCUC